CUCGCAUAUUCUUCCCCUAAAUGUAUCCUUGCAUGCAGUUACAUUAGAUAUAUUGUCCUGCCAACAGCCCCCAUUCCUUUCCAGACACUCAUUUGUCUCAAGAUCUGAACUUAAGCAGAUUGGGGGAUCAGUGGUCUCCUUAAAUCCAGAACAUAUGGCCUUCAGAACAGCAGUUCUCUCCAGUUUUCCUCGAUACUGAACAUUGUUAAUAACUAAAGUUGGUAAGAUGGUAACAUCACCACGAGAUCCUCGCCCAACCUGGAGUUCUUGCUCAG
RNAcentral lists this unclassified non-coding RNA (275 nucleotides) under Hevea brasiliensis (rubber tree). The record is from RNAcentral. Lineage: Eukaryota; Viridiplantae; Streptophyta; Magnoliopsida; Malpighiales; Euphorbiaceae.